UUUUUAAGUUCUUCUGAAAACAGCUUAAAAAUUGGAAUAAUAAGAAAAGAUUAGCAUGGCCCCUGCACAAGGAUGACAAAUUUGUGAAGCAUUCCAUAUUUUA
Hyaena hyaena (striped hyena) is the source of this 103-nucleotide small nuclear RNA. Lineage: Eukaryota; Metazoa; Chordata; Mammalia; Carnivora; Hyaenidae. The record is from RefSeq and is a predicted model, not a curated record.